AUUGAACGCUGGCGGAAUGCUUUACACAUGCAAGUCGAACGGCAGCACGGACUUCGGUCUGGUGGCGAGUGGCGAACGGGUGAGUAAUGUAUCGGAACGUGCCCAGUCGUGGGGGAUAACGUGGUGAAAAUUACGCUAAUACCGCAUACGAUCUAUGGAUGAAAGCGGGGGAUCGCAAGACCUCGCGCGAUUGGAGCGGCCGAUAUCAGAUUAGGUAGUUGGUGGGGUAAAGGCCCACCAAGCCAACGAUCUGUAGCUGGUCUGAGAGGAAGACCAGCCACACUGGAACUGAGACACGGUCCAGACUCCUACGGGAGGCAGCAGUGGGGAAUUUUGGACAAUGGGCGAAAGCCUGAUCCAGCCAUUCCGCGUGCAGGAUGAAGGCCCUCGGGUUGUAAACUGCUUUUGUACAGAACGAAAAGGUUUCUACUAAUACUAGGAGCUCAUGACGGUACUGUAAGAAUAAGCACCGGCUAACUACGUGCCAGCCGCCGCGGUAA
This 500-nucleotide ribosomal RNA is filed under the name uncultured bacterium. Its description in RNAcentral is "partial 16S ribosomal RNA". It matches the Rfam family "Bacterial small subunit ribosomal RNA", at positions 30 to 523 of the family's 1533-position model. The record is from RNAcentral.